This is a long non-coding RNA of Gossypium raimondii (Peruvian cotton), 809 nucleotides long. RefSeq lists it as uncharacterized. The record is from RefSeq and is a predicted model, not a curated record. The transcript has 4 exons. NCBI's taxonomy places the organism in Eukaryota, Viridiplantae, Streptophyta, Magnoliopsida, Malvales, Malvaceae.
CUUCACCAUAAAUUCAAGGAGAAGAAAGCCAUUGUUGGCUUUAACAUUCGGCCAAGCGCUCAUUGCUCAAAUAGAUCAAGAAAAGAGGAGAUUAGAUUUGGAUCGGGGAAAAAUAAAAAAAUUUCGAAUAGUCGUCCGCUUCGUUCAUGUUCGUACGAGAGUUUUGGAGACUUGCUCGGGUUGGAAGUCAUAGGAGACCUCAUCACACUAUCCGGUUAUCGCUUCGGUGUUGUUCAAAGGUUUUAAGCGGAUAUUCCAGUGUGUGGAGACGACUUGUUAUUGGAUAUGUCGCGGUAAGUUUUUGAAUCGUCGUUGGUUUAGUUUCUCAAGUUUUAUGUUGGGGUAUUUGGUUGAUUGAUGAAUCAAGUGAUUAAUUAAGGGAUAUAUUGGUCAAAUAUAGGUUUUUGAAGGCUCGGGUUAAUUUGCACAGUGAAUCGGUACCAGGUGUGUACUCGAAACGCAGAUAAUAAGAUUUGGUGAAAAGCCGAAAUUGCUUGCUGUCGAGAAAUAAGAGAAGUAAGAGAAAAUGAUAUGAAAAAUUGUAGAGAAAGGAAAUAAGGGUGUUAUAAACUUGGAAAUCAACAUUCUGCACUAAAAUAGUUUUGGACAGCAGCAGUAGUCUAAUUUUAAAAAAUCAUAAAAAAUAGUGGAAAUUGAGUUAGAGGUUGAAUAAAAUAUGAAAUUUAAAUUUAUUGAGUCUAGUUUUAGAUGGAAGAAACAGUGUAGGCAAUGAAAUUGUAAGUUACGAGAUAUAAUGAAUUUUGUGAGCCAAUGUCAGAAUGGUUUUGGGUUCCCCUGUUCUGACUUUG